CCUGGUCAAUAAUGGUACGAGGAAUGUGUGUUUACUAUAAGAUUUAUUUUCUUUUGACUUGGUUGAGAAAAUUCAAUUCAUUGCUCUUCCGGAUUCAUCUAUCAUAGAUAUUCAGGUUUGGUAUAAAACAAGUUUCCCCUAUGAUAAAAGUUUGAGAUGUUUACUAUGAUUUGCUAUGUCGAAUUUUUAAACAGUGGACUUGGUCCACUAAGAUUUUUACAUCAAACUGGA
RNAcentral lists this long non-coding RNA (231 nucleotides) under Elaeis guineensis (African oil palm). Its description in RNAcentral is "long non-coding RNA (EGUI_LNC012174)". The record is from RNAcentral. Lineage: Eukaryota; Viridiplantae; Streptophyta; Magnoliopsida; Arecales; Arecaceae.